GUCUUCAUAGGGCGUCAUCCCCUAGUGGACAUCUUAUCUCGUCUUCAUAGGGCACUAUCCCCUAGUCGACAUCUUACUUCGUCUUCAUAGGGCGCCAUCCCCUAGUUGACAUCUUAUUCGUCUUCAUAGGGCACCAUCCCCUAGCUGACAUCUUACUCGUCUUCAUAGGGCGCCAUCCCCUAGUAGACAUCUCAUUUCGUCUUCAUAGGGCGUCAUCCCCUAGUUGACAUCUCAUUUCGUCUUCAUAGGGCGCCAUCCCCUAGUUGACAUCUUACUCGUCUUCAUAGGGCACUAUCCCCUAGUCGACAUCUUAUUUCGUCUUCAUAGGGCGCCAUCCCCUAGUUGACAUCUUACUCGUCUUCAUAGGGCACUAUCCCCUAGUCGACAUCUUAUUUCGUCUUCAUAGGGCGCCAUCCCCUAGUUGACAUCUUACUCGUCUUCAUAGGGCACUAUCCCCUAGUCGACAUCUUAUUUCAUCUUCAUAGGGCGCCAUCCCCUAGUUGACAUCUUAUUUCGUCUUCAUAGGGCACCAUCCCCUAGUUGACAUCUUACUCGUCUUCAUAGGGCACUAUCCCCUAGUCGACAUCUUAUU
Molecule: long non-coding RNA, 592 nt
Filed under: Capsicum annuum
Lineage: Eukaryota; Viridiplantae; Streptophyta; Magnoliopsida; Solanales; Solanaceae
Description: long non-coding RNA (CANN_LNC012978)
Source: RNAcentral